This 253-nucleotide ribosomal RNA is filed under the name uncultured bacterium. Its description in RNAcentral is "partial 16S ribosomal RNA". It matches the Rfam family "Bacterial small subunit ribosomal RNA", at positions 524 to 776 of the family's 1533-position model. The record is from RNAcentral.
UACGAAGGGGGCUAGCGUUGUUCGGAAUUACUGGGCGUAAAGCGCACGUAGGCGGAUCUUUAAGUCAGGGGUGAAAUCCCAAGGCUCAACCUUGGAACUGCCUUUGAUACUGGGGAUCUCGAGUCCGGAAGAGGUGAGUGGAACUGCGAGUGUAGAGGUGAAAUUCGUAGAUAUUCGCAAGAACACCAGUGGCGAAGGCGGCUCACUGGUCCGGUACUGACGCUGAGGUGCGAAAGCGUGGGGAGCAAACAGG